Molecule: ribosomal RNA, 253 nt
Filed under: uncultured bacterium
Lineage: Bacteria
Description: partial 16S ribosomal RNA
Rfam family: Bacterial small subunit ribosomal RNA
Source: RNAcentral
UACAGAGGUCUCAAGCGUUGUUCGGAUUCAUUGGGCGUAAAGGGUGCGUAGGCGGCGCGGUAAGUCGGGUGUGAAAUCUCGGAGCUUAACUCCGAAACUGCAUUCGAUACUGCCGUGCUUGAGGACUGGAGAGGAGACUGGAAUUUACGGUGUAGCAGUGAAAUGCGUAGAUAUCGUGAGGAAGACCAGUGGCGAAGGCGGGUCUCUGGACAGUUCCUGACACUGAGGCACGAAGGCCAGGGGAGCAAACGGG